UGGGGAAUAUUGCACAAUGGACGGAAGUCUGAUGCAGCAACGCCGCGUGCGGGAUGACGGCCUUCGGGUUGUAAACCGCUUUUUCUCAUGACGAAGUUUUUUGACGGUAGUGGGGGAAGAAGCUCCGGCUAAAUACGUGCCAGCAGCCGCGGUAAUACGUAUGGAGCGAGCGUUGUCCGGAAUUAUUGGGCGUAAAGGGUGCGCAGGCGGCUUUACAAGUUGGAUGUGAAAUAUUGUGGCUCAACCACAAACGUGCAUCCAAAACUGCAAAGCUUGAGUUAAGGAGAGGUAAGUGGAAUUCCUGGUGUAGCGGUGGAAUGCGUAGAUAUCAGGAGGAAUACCGGUGGCGAAGGCGACUUACUGGACUUAAACUGACGCUCAGGCACGAAAGCGUGGGGAGCAAACAGG
This 408-nucleotide ribosomal RNA is filed under the name Fusobacteriota bacterium. RNAcentral describes it as "Fusobacteria bacterium partial 16S ribosomal RNA". It matches the Rfam family "Bacterial small subunit ribosomal RNA", at positions 355 to 776 of the family's 1533-position model. Lineage: Bacteria; Fusobacteriati; Fusobacteriota. The record is from RNAcentral.